UGAGCCGGUCAGGCGGCCGCGUCAGGACCGUCCCGCGAGGGGCGGGCCUGCCGAGGAACGUCCGGGCUCCACAGGGCGAGGUGGUGGCCAACAGCCACCCGGAGUGAUCCGCGGGACAGUGCCACAGAGAACAGACCGCCUCCGGACCGCGAGGUCCGGCGGUAAGGGUGAAACGGUGGUGUAAGAGACCACCAGCGCCCCCGGUGACGGGGGCGGCUCGGUAAACCCCACCUGGAGCAAGUCCAGACAGCAGGCGUUCGAGGGCGGCCCGCCCGAGCCUGCGGGUAGGACGCUGGAACCGGUCAGCGAUGGCCGGUCGAGAUGGAUGGUCGCCACCGCGCUCCCGGCGACGGGACGCGGGACAGAACCCGGCGUACCGACCGGCUCAUCCC
RNAcentral lists this RNase P RNA (392 nucleotides) under Lapillicoccus jejuensis. RNAcentral describes it as "Bacterial RNase P class A". It matches the Rfam family "Bacterial RNase P class A". From Rfam's summary of the family: Ribonuclease P (RNase P) is a ubiquitous endoribonuclease, found in archaea, bacteria and eukarya as well as chloroplasts and mitochondria. Its best characterised activity is the generation of mature 5'-ends of tRNAs by cleaving the 5'-leader elements of precursor-tRNAs. The record is from Rfam by way of RNAcentral. Lineage: Bacteria; Bacillati; Actinomycetota; Actinomycetes; Micrococcales; Intrasporangiaceae.